AACGAACGCUGGCGGCAUGCCUAACACAUGCAAGUCGAACGGGAUCCUAGCUUGCUAGGUGAGAGUGGCGGACGGGUGAGUAACACGUGGGAAUCUGCCUUUUGGUUCGGGAUAACCGCGGGAAACUGCGGCUAAUACCGAAUGCCCUCGAGAGAGGAAAGAUUUAUCGCCAGAAGAGGAGCCCGCGUCCGAUUAGGUAGUUGGUGGGGUAAAGGCCUACCAAGCCGACGAUCGGUAGCUGGUCUGAGAGGAUGAUCAGCCACACUGGGACUGAGAUACGGCCCAGACUCCUACGGGAGGCAGCAGUGGGGAAUAUUGGACAAUGGGGCAACCCUGAUCCAGCAAUGCCGCGUGAGUGAUGAAGGCCUUAGGUUGUAAGCUCUUUUGCCAGGGAAGAUGAUGACUGUACCUGGAGAAUAAGCCCCGGCUAACUUCGUGCCAGCAGCCGCGGUAAU
RNAcentral lists this ribosomal RNA (455 nucleotides) under uncultured bacterium. RNAcentral's name for it is "bacterial SSU rRNA". It matches the Rfam family "Bacterial small subunit ribosomal RNA", at positions 29 to 524 of the family's 1533-position model. The record is from RNAcentral.